This 253-nucleotide ribosomal RNA is filed under the name uncultured bacterium. Its description in RNAcentral is "partial 16S ribosomal RNA". It matches the Rfam family "Bacterial small subunit ribosomal RNA", at positions 524 to 776 of the family's 1533-position model. The record is from RNAcentral.
UACGAAGGGGGCUAGCGUUGUUCGGAAUUACUGGGCGUAAAGCGCACGUAGGCGGCCGCUUAAGUCGGAUGUGAAAGCCCCUGGCUCAACUGGGGAAGUGCACCCGAAACUGAGUGGCUUGAGUACUAAAGAGGGUCGCGGAAUUCCCGGUGUAGAGGUGAAAUUCGUAGAUAUCGGGAGGAACACCGGUGGCGAAGGCGGCGACCUGGGUAGAUACUGACGCUGAGGCGCGAAAGCGUGGGGAGCAAACAGG